This 518-nucleotide ribosomal RNA is filed under the name uncultured bacterium. RNAcentral's name for it is "bacterial SSU rRNA". It matches the Rfam family "Bacterial small subunit ribosomal RNA", at positions 27 to 518 of the family's 1533-position model. The record is from RNAcentral.
GGACGAACGCUGGCGGCGUGCCUAAUACAUGCAAGUCGAACGGUCUUUCUAUGGAAGCUUGCUUCCACUGAGAAGAUAGUGGCGAACGGGUGAGUAACACGUGGGUAACCUGCCCAUAAGAGGGGGAUAACAUCCGGAAACGGGUGCUAAUACCGCAUAGUUUUCUUGAUCGCAUGAUCGGGAAAGGAAAGACGGCCUUUGUGCUGUCGCUUAUGGAUGGACCCGCGGCGUAUUAGUUAGUUGGUGAGGUAACGGCUCACCAAGACGAUGAUACGUAGCCGACCUGAGAGGGUGAUCGGCCACAUUGGGACUGAGACACGGCCCAAACUCCUACGGGAGGCAGCAGUAGGGAAUCUUCCGCAAUGGACGAAAGUCUGACGGAGCAACGCCGCGUGAGUGAAAGAAGGUUUUCGGAUCGUAAAACUCUGUUGUCAGAGAAGAACAAGUUGGAGAGUAACUGCUCCAGCCUUGACGGUAUCUGACCAGAAAGCCACGGCUAACUACGUGCCAGCCGCGGC